This 446-nucleotide ribosomal RNA is filed under the name uncultured bacterium. RNAcentral describes it as "bacterial SSU rRNA". It matches the Rfam family "Bacterial small subunit ribosomal RNA", at positions 330 to 793 of the family's 1533-position model. The record is from RNAcentral.
GCCAGACUCCUACGGGAGGCAGCAGUGGGGAAUAUUGCACAAUGGGGGAAACCCUGAUGCAGCGACGCCGCGUGAGCGAUGAAGUAUUUCGGUAUGUAAAGCUCUCUCAGCAGGGAAGAAAAUGACGGUACCUGACUAAGAAGCCCCGGCUAACUACGUGCCAGCAGCCGCGGUAAUACGUAGGGGGCAAGCGUUAUCCGGAUUUACUGGGUGUAAAGGGAGCGUAGACGGCAGUGCAAGUCCGGAGUGAAAGCCCGGGGCUCAACCCUGGGACUGCUCUGGAAACUGUAAAGCUGGAGUGCGGGAGGGGCAGGCGGAAUUCCUGGUGUAGCGGUGAAAUGCGCAGAUAUCAGGAGGAACACCGGCGGCGAAGGCGGCCUGCUGGACCGUAACUGACGUUGAGGCUCGAAAGCGUGGGGAGCAAACAGGAUUAGAUACCCCGGUAA